This 1323-nucleotide ribosomal RNA is filed under the name human gut metagenome. RNAcentral describes it as "bacterial LSU rRNA". It matches the Rfam family "Bacterial large subunit ribosomal RNA", at positions 1185 to 2523 of the family's 2925-position model. The record is from RNAcentral.
AACUUACCACCGAAGCUACGGGCUUGCGUAAGCAAGCGGUAGGGGAGCGUCGUAAUCGGGCUGAAGUCGUACCGUAAGGAGCGGUGGACUGAUUACGAGUGAGAAUGUUGGCAUUAGUAGCGAGAUGUAGGUGAGAAUCCUACAGGCCGAAUAUCUAAGGUUUCCUCAGGAAGGCUCGUCCGCUGAGGGUUAGUCGGGACCUAAGCCGAGGCCGAAAGGCGUAGGCGAUGGACAAUCGGUUGAUAUUCCGAUACCACUACCAUCGUUAUUAUCGAGGGUGUGACGGAGAAGGAUAGUGUGUGCUAGCGAUUGGAAAUGCUAGUCUAAGCGUUUAGGGAGUUACGGUAGGCAAAUCCGCUGUAACAAUUCUGAGGCGUGAUGGGGAAGGCCAUAUAGGCCGAAGUACAUGAUUCCAUGCUUCCAAGAAAAGCAUCUAGAGAGAGAAGUAGUGCCCGUACCGCAAACCGACACAGGUAGAUGAGGAGAGAAUCCUAAGGCCGGCGGAAGAAUUGCAGUUAAGGAACUAGGCAAAUUGACCCCGUAAGUUCGCGAGAAGGGGUGCCUGCGAGAGCAGGCCGCAGAGAAUAGGCCCAAGCAACUGUUUAGCAAAAACACAGGUCUCUGCUAAAGCGUAAGCUGAUGUAUAGGGGCUGACGCCUGCCCGGUGCUGGAAGGUUAAGGGGAACACUUAGCGCAAGCGAAGGUGUGAACUUAAGCCCCAGUAAACGGCGGCCGUAACUAUAACGGUCCUAAGGUAGCGAAAUUCCUUGUCAGGUAAGUUCUGACCCGCACGAAUGGCGUAAUGACUUGGGCACUGUCUCAACUGCAAAUCCGGCGAAGUUGUAGUGCGAGUGAAGAUGCUCGCUACCCGCGAUUGGACGGAAAGACCCCGUAGAGCUUUACUGUAGCUUAGCAUUGAAUUCCGGUAUUGUCUGUACAGGAUAGGUGGGAGACUGGGAAACUAGGGCGUCAGCCUUAGUGGAGUCAACCUUGGGAUACCACCCUGACAGUACUGGGGUUCUAACAGGACGCCAUGAAUCUGGUGACUGGACAUUGUUAGGUGGGCAGUUUGACUGGGGCGGUCGCCUCCUAAAAAGUAACGGAGGCGCCCAAAGGUUCCCUCAGAACGGUCGGAAAUCGUUCGUAGAGUGCAAAGGCAGAAGGGAGCCUGACUGCGAGACAUACAAGUCGAGCAGGGACGAAAGUCGGGCUUAGUGAUCCGGUGGUACCUCGUGGGAGGGCCAUCGCUCAACGGAUAAAAGCUACCUCGGGGAUAACAGGCUGAUCUCCCCCAAGAGUCCACAUCGACGGGGAGGUUUGGCA